GAUGAAGAACGUAGCGAAAUGCGAUAAGUAGUGUGAAUUGCAGAAUUCAGUGAAUCAUCGAAUCUUUGAACGCACAUUGCGCCCUUUGGUAUUCCAAAGGGCAUGCCUGUUCGAGCGUCAUUUGUACCCUCAAGCUUUGCUUGGUGUUGGGCGUCUUGUCUCUAGCUUUGCUGGAGACUCGCCUUAAAGUAACUGGCAGCCGGCCUACUGGUUUCGGAGCGCAGCACAAGUCGCACUCUCUAUCAGCAAAGGUCUAGCAUCCAUUAAGCCUUUUUUUCAACUUUUGACCUCGGAUCAGGUAGGGAUACCCGCUGAACUUAAGCAUAUCAAUAAGCGGAGGA
This 341-nucleotide unclassified non-coding RNA is filed under the name soil metagenome. RNAcentral describes it as "partial contains 5.8S ribosomal RNA, internal transcribed spacer 2, and large subunit ribosomal RNA". The stretch from base 1 to 120 matches the Rfam family "5.8S ribosomal RNA", at positions 35 to 154 of the family's 154-position model. The record is from RNAcentral.